RNAcentral lists this ribosomal RNA (502 nucleotides) under uncultured bacterium. Its description in RNAcentral is "bacterial SSU rRNA". It matches the Rfam family "Bacterial small subunit ribosomal RNA", at positions 28 to 530 of the family's 1533-position model. The record is from RNAcentral.
GAUGAACGCUGGCGGCGUGCCUCAAACAUGCAAGUCGAGCGGGGCUAUGUAAUAUCGCAAGGUAGAACAUAGCCUAGCGGCGAACGGGUGAGUAACACGUGGGUAACCUGCCUGGAAGACAGGGAUAACGAUUCGAAAGGGUCGCUAAUACCUGAUAAUAUCCUUUCAUCGCAUGGUGAUAGGAAGAAAGGGGAAACCCGCUUUCAGAUGGGCCCGCGUCCCAUCAGCUAGUUGGUAAGGUAAAGGCUUACCAAGGCGACGACGGGUAGCCGGUCUGAGAGGAUGUACGGCCACACUGGGACUGAGAUACGGCCCAGACUCCUACGGGAGGCAGCAGUUGGGAAUCUUAGGCAAUGGACGAAAGUCUGACCUAGCGACGCCGCGUGAGGGAAGAAGGCCUUCGGGUUGUAAACCUCUGUCAUGGGGAAGAAGUAAGUGACGGUACCCCAAGAGAAGCCCCUGCUAACUACGUGCCCAGCAGCCCGCGGUAAAAGUACUCUAU